This 653-nucleotide long non-coding RNA is filed under the name Numida meleagris (helmeted guineafowl). RNAcentral describes it as "lncRNA (ENSNMEG00000008638.1)". Lineage: Eukaryota; Metazoa; Chordata; Aves; Galliformes; Numididae. The record is from RNAcentral.
UACUAAAUGUGUCUGAAAAGAGUAAGCUCCAUUUCUUAGCUAUUUGGUUAGCUUCUGCCAACCCAUCAGAAGUGCUCCCUCGGCUUAUUUCAAUGAUCAACAUAUGGAAAAGCGUUCCUGCUCACCAACCUGGCAAAGACUUCACUGGAACACCCCUGGCUUUGUACGAUGUCACUUAUCCGUCAUAGAGAUGAAGCAGCUUUCAGAAGAGACGAGCUGCAAAUCACCUGCCUGAGCCUCAGUUGUUCUGUAUCAGGCUAAAAAUAUGGAGAGGUCAUGAGUUCAAAUGUGCAUCUAGAAAUGCAGUGACUUUGCUGGGUGAAAAAAUACUAACCAGCUCCACUGGGAUCUCCAUGAGUGAACAUCUCAACAGCCAAGCUGAACUUGCCCUCUGGAAUACUGCAGCAUCAAUCUGUCACAUAUUAGGAACAUGCAGUUGUGGUUGCAGGUCCUUGUCUUUGGCAAUGAUCCUUGUCUUUGGCGAUGAAAGAGGGAUUUAUUUCUUUUUUUAAUAAAGCAAAAUCCAUUUUCUCUAAAAUUUCUGGCAUUUAUCAUCUCUGAAACAUUUUUCUUGUGGAAGCAUUCAGUGUACCACUGGCUGGAGGAAAGGAAAGGGAAAUAAAAGAGGAAGGAGAAGGGGAAAGGGAAGGGAA